This 497-nucleotide ribosomal RNA is filed under the name uncultured bacterium. RNAcentral's name for it is "partial 16S ribosomal RNA". It matches the Rfam family "Bacterial small subunit ribosomal RNA", at positions 28 to 507 of the family's 1533-position model. The record is from RNAcentral.
GAUGAACGCUGGCGGCGUGCCUAAUACAUGCAAGUCGAGCGAACGGACGAGAAUCUUGCUUCUCUGAUGUUAGCGGCGGACGGGUGAGUAACACGUGGAUAACCUACCUAUAAGACUGGGAUAACUUCGGGAAACCGGAGCUAACACCGGAUGAUAUUUUGAACCGCAUGGUUCAAAAGUGAAAGACGGUCUUGCUGUCACUUAUAGAUGGAUCCGCGCUGCAUUAGCUAGUUGGUAAGGUAAUGGCUUACCAAGGCAACGAUGCAUAGCCGACCUGAGAGGGUGAUCGGCCACACUGGAACUGAGACACGGUCCAGACUCCUACGGGAGGCAGCAGUAGGGAAUCUUCCGCAAUGGGCGAAAGCCUGACGGAGCAACGCCGCGUGAGUGAUGAAGGUCUUCGGAUCGUAAAACUCUGUUAUUAGGGAAGAACAUAUGUGUAAGUAACUGUGCACAUCUUGACGGUACCUAAUCAGAAAGCCACGGCUAACUACGUG